UCUAUGAAAAACUGAGUUGGAAUUUUAAUGGGGAUUGCAUUGAAUCUGUAGAUUGCUUUUGGCAAAAUGGCCAUUUUUACUAUAUUAAUUCUGCCAAUCCUUGAGCAUGGAAGGUCUUUCCAUCUUCUGAGAUCUUCUUCAAUUUCUUUCUUCAGAGACUUGAAGUUCUUGUCACUUGCUUGGUUAGAGUCACACUGAGGUAUUUUAUGUUAUUUGGGACUAUUGUGAAGGAUGUCAGCCUGUUUAUUCUUUGAGUAGAGGAAGGCUUCUCAUUUGCUUGAGUUAAUUUUAUACCCAGCUACUUUGCUGAAGUUGUUUAUCAGGCUUAGUAGUUCUCUGGUGGAACUUUUGGGAUCAGUUAAGUAGACUAUCAUAUCAUCUGCAAAUAGUGAUAUUUUGACUUCUUUCUUUCCAAAUUGUAUCCCUUUGGCCUCCUUUUGUUGUCUGAUUGCUCUGGCUAGGACUUUGAGAACUAUAUUGAAUAAGUAAGGAGAGAAUGGGCAGCCUUGUCUAGUCCCUGAUUUUAGUCAGAUUGCUUCAAGUUUCUCUCCAUUUAGUUUAACGUUGGGUACUGAUUUGCUGUAUAUUUCUUUUAUUAUGUUUAGGUAUGAGCCUUGAAUUCCUGAUGUUUUCAAGACUUUUAUCAUGAAGGGGUGUUGAUUUUUGUCAAAUGCUUUCUCAGGAAGGGUCCUGCUGCUGAAUGCUCCUGUGUUCCUGUAUGCAGAGGGCACUAGGUAGGUUCCUCUUGGUCCAGGAAUGUGAGCAGAAGUGGUGAUCUCCCCUGAACUCUCAGGAUUGUCUGCACUUCUGAGAGUCCAGCUCUCCCCCCAUGGGAUUUUGGUGCAGAGAGCUGUGGGACUGGUUCAGUUCCCUCUACAUCAGUUUUAAGGAGGAAGUUGAAUACAUGGACCUUUGUGCCAUAGAAGGAAUAGAGACUCAUCUUGACUGGGGUCAUCAGCUUGCCUUGAUAAAGUUAUUUCCUGCCUCCAGGGACUACAUCCCCAAUACCACUAUGUACCAACUUUGGCUUCCACUCAGUAUCACCAAAGGCCAAAAUGAGUCACUUUAUUGCAAGGGAAGUACAGCAAGAGACACAGGACCAGAGAAUCCACACUUUCCACAUGACAUCACCUGGAAGCAGAAGCUGGUAGCCUGAUUGAGAGGUGGUGGUGGUGACUGGUGGGGCAGAGAUGGGAGGGAGGAAGGGGAGAGGGAAGGGAGAGCUUCCUUUAAAUGUGACUGAGGUUAGGAAUUAUGAUGGUUAACCAUGAAUUUGAUACAGUCUGGAGGAGGGUCUCUAAGAAUGUCUGUGAAGAAUUAUCUUAUGUUAGUUGAUAAGAGAGGGCCCCCUAGCUGGAGAUGACACUGUUUAUAUAGUCUGUAUAAGAAGCGAGGGUGCCGAGCCGGAGCUCAUAUGCAUUAAUUCUUUGCUCUCUGCUCUUGACCGUGAGUAUAAUGUGACCAGUUGCUUCCAGUUCUGCUAUCUUGACUUCCCUGUAAUGAUAGACUGUAACUGGGAACUGUGAGCCAACACUAACAAUUUUCUUCUAAAAUUGCUUUGAUCAGAAUAUUUUAUCACACCAAUGGAAGAGAAAGUGAGACAGGAAUGUUACCUGUGAGGAUGCACAUUUAUCCUGCAGGACACAUUUAUACAUGAUGUCAGUGAUGGCUGUGCUCCCUGUAAGGGUUCAGUUCUCCAUAAGGAGAAGGCCUCCAGAGGAAGAUACAGUCAGAGUGCCACUGAAAUUUCAUUUACACCAGCUACCUGGCCACUUGAAGUUUCUAACAACGAUGACCAGAGGGCAAGAAAAGAGAGUAUCACCUGACAGACACAGUUGGUUCACAGCACUAGAUAUAAGUAAGGCUGCAGAUGGAGCAUGGUCCGGGGAUGGAUGCAUUUUGUGCUCAGCUGGUAUAUCAGGUGUCUCUCCUAUGAUCUUGGGCUCGGUUGUCCCUGCAGACAGCCAACAACAGGCGUCAGAGUCUGAGAAGGGAAUUGUUGAACUUUGAACAUGAAAACGACACCACAGACUCACUUGUUUAAGCACUUGUACACGACAGUGAAGGAUCUGCCCUUCUUGUCUUAUACCAUGAACAAACGUAUAUCAUUCUUCUUUCAUUUUUUUCAGUUUUAUUUUUUGGUCACAGCAGAAGGAAAGUAACAUAAAAAUGUAACCGAGAGUCAGACAAUGUUGUAGACCACCAGGUAAGUGUUCUAGACCAGCAGUAGUAUAAGCCAACAGAGGGGGAAUCUUUGUGUGUGUGACUGGACAGAGAAUAUAUAUAUAUAUAUAUAUAUAUAUUCAUAUCUCCAAAUGUCUACAAUGUGUGUGGAACAGAAGAUAAUCCUAGGUUUCAUUCCUUGCUGUCAUUAUCCACCUUAUAUUUUGAGACAGAAUUUCCCAUUGGCCUAUAGUUGGUUUUUGCUACCUUGUGGGUUCUUCUUUCUUCCACCCUUCUCCACCCUUUCUUACUCUUUCAACCCCUAAUACUACAUAGGAGAGAAAACAUAUGGUAUAAAGGGGGUAUAUGUUUUUUAAAGACAUGAAAAAUUCCGAAAUUGUCACUACUUUGGCCUAGAACUUGGUAAGUAUGUUCAAUUUGACGGGCCACCCACUCACAAGGCUUUGCCCACGUCUUCCCUGACACUGGGAUUGCAACCACUUGCCACAAUGCCCUGCCUUCUCAUGUGGGCUCAGAUUUGCCUGUUUAUGUAGCAAGCACUUCAUCAUCUGAGCCUUCUUCCCAGUCUGAGGCAGAGGGAUCUUGAAUCAGUUAUGAAGGAGAGAGUGAUGAGUACUGGAUGGAGCUUGAAGAUAAGUGUAGCAGGCAGACUGCCAUUGACUCUACUAGCCAUCUGUGACUAUGCCCAUGAAAAUGGCUGAGUGGGCCCGUAGGUAAAGGUGAUUGCUAUCAAGCCUGACGGGACCCACAUGGUGGAAGGAGAGAACUGACUCCUAAAAGUUGUCUUUUGAUUUCCACAUAUGCACUCUGAUAAUCAAGUGCUCCAACACAUACACAGACAAUAGAUAAGUGGGGUUUUUUUUGUUUUUGUUUUUUGUUUUUGUUUUUUUUUUUAAAUAACAGGUUGCCAGUCAUUCUUGAGGCAACAGUGAUCUCAGGCAGCUCUUCACUUCUGCUUCUGGCUUCCUCUUAGACUCUGAUCUGUUAAGUCCUCAUUUCAAGAAUCAAAACAAACCUCCGAGUUAUUAGAUGUGUAUAAUGGUUACUAUGAAUACUUAGCCUUGCAUACAACAAAAUAGAAUUCCCAGAGGCAAUUGUUAGCCUCCCAAUUAUUGAUAAUGUUGAGAUUUAGCAUCUCUGUAUAUGGACUCUGCUGGGAGUAGGUCUCAUGAUAACAACCACUAUAAACUGUGAGGCUGGACUACAGGAUGCAGGAUUGGUCAGUGUUUGUCACCUUCACAGGUACCAGUGUCACCCAGGAAACCUCAGCUGAGUCUAUGGGGUAUUGUAUUGAUUAGUGAUUGAUGUCAGAGGGUCAUCCUGAGGUCCUGGCUUGUAUAAGAAAGCAAGCUGGAUAAGCAAGGGGAAGCAAGCCAGUAAGCAGAGUUCCUCUGGCACCUUUGCUUCUGUUCCUGCCUCUAGCUAGGUUCCUGUCUGGAAUUCUUGCUAUGAUGUUCCUUUGUGGAAGACUAUAAGCUGCAAGAUGAAAGAGAUCCUUGCUUUUGGUCAGUGUUUAAUCAGAGCAGUAGAAAUUAAGCUAGGAAAGUAAUUAAACUCCAGGAGGUUCAGUUGAGAGGGACACCGGGGGUGGGGGGAUAAGAGGGAGAGAGGGAGAGAGAUCAAUCAACAUUUAUCAGAUGUUGUUCCCAAACUAUUUCAACAAUUGCCUUGCACAACACAAUUGAGACAAUAAAAUUGAAAAUAAAUUAAAGCCAUUUAAACAAAUGUUUUACGGAGCAAAGAUUCAUGAUUUGAAUAUUUAUGAUGGCAAAAUCAGAUUAAGUUGCCGACCCCCCCUCCCCCAUCUGUCAUCCAUGAUGCGAAGCCCCUGGGAGUAAGUUAGCUAGGGUUUGUGGCAUGUUUUGCUUAAAUAGAAAUAAACUAAUCGCAUUUCCAAGCUUGUAAAAUAGUUCAUUAAGUAGGGGAGGCAGCAAUAAUGGCACCCCGCCCUCAAGAAGCAUAUGAUCAGCAAUGCAGGCCGAGGGGAAUCGAGUAUGGUUCAACGUCUAAAUAAAUAGUCUCUAAAGAGUAAAAAAACAAGAUAACAGAUUUUAUACAGCUGAGGACCGUGUUUUAUAUUGACUUUUAAAAAUACUGUUAAUUUGAAAAUAAGUUUAAAGUGUUUUGACACUGUCUCAGAGAAGCCUGAGUGCUACAGGUAUUAAUUCUAUAGGACUGUCCUUCCUUAUAUCAGGGUCUUUGAUAGACACCCGACAUCUUCUCUCCUCUCUGACUGUUACUUCUGCUUACCUUGUUGUCAUUCUGUUUAUGACACUUUAAUCUCUUGGUCCCUUUGCCAUUAUUUUCUGCUCACCCUGACUAUAUUACUUUUAUGCCUUUAUGACCAGACUAUUAAAUGAAGCAACUUGGGAAAGAAGGGUUUGUCUUGGUUCACGUUUCAGACUUCAGAGUAGUGUUGUUACUUUUAUCCCCUCACCAUACAACCCCAGAUAUAACUCCAUAUCCUCACCUUGGGUUUCAUUUAUUUCAUAGUACUGGAUAUUGAAUCCAGGGCCUCAUCAAUGCUGGGCAAGCACCUCACCACUGGCCUGGAUUCCCGGCCAUCAGCUUCUGUUGUUAAUUUAAGGCAAGUUCUUUAUUUAGUUGCCCAGCUGGCCUUGAACUUAUUCUGUAAACCACAGAGACCUUGAACCUGGGAUCCUCCUGCCUCAGACUGGACUCCCAUAUUGCCAAAGUUCUGGGCUUAUGCCACCAGGCCUGUCUCAGCAUCCUUAAUUUAAUUGAGUGUGCAAAGUCCCUUUGCCCAAUGUAAUAACACAGUGACAUGCCUUGAGGAUGGGCAUGUGCCCAGGCUCUUCGAUGGUCCAUUGUUCAGCAGCCAUUUUUCUUUUACCUCACUUUUUUUUCCUGUCAAUUUUUAGGACAUUUGAAACUUGGCCUUUGGUUCCUGGUCCCAUUUUCGUCUCUAGUCAAAUUUUAGAAAAGGCACUCACUAAGGGCCAUUAUGGUUUUAAUCACUAUCUAUAUUGGAACUCAAAUCUGUGUCCAGUUUGAGCUUGUCCUUAAGCUCCAUGCUUGUGUCAAUGUCUAAUCUGUCUACAGAGUCUACAGUUCACUUGGAUGUCCACUGCAGAGGAUGAAACCAAUGAGAAGCUAUGGCUCCCAGGCGUGGUGAAAAAGUGGGUGUCAGACUGGGAGACAACAUAGGGAGCUGCCCUGGUGUAGGAUGAUGGAGAAUUGAGGUGUCAGUUAGCCAGGGCUCGUGUUGAUGGAAGUGGACAGUGUAACACACAGCUGGGGUGAAAGGGGAACUGGACAGGGGAAGUAGGUAGGGCCAUAUUACAAACCUUUGUUGUUUACUUUCGUAGUAACAAGCAGCUACCCAGGGAGUUUAAACACAAGGUGGUGGCCAGCAGCCCUUGCCAGAUGUGUCACAUGGCUAAGGAAAUUGGAAAAACACAAGUUCCUCAUACCCACAAGACUGAUCACCUGAGCACCGUUGGGAAGUACCUGGACAUCAGAUGCUAUAAGCUGACAGUCAACUGAAAGGCACUCUACCAACCCUCCCCACAAAGGAGAACACGGUUGACCUCAGCCAGAUCACAGCAACAUGGGGCGUGUCACACUUUUUCAAGAACAGUGGGAAGGAAGUUUGCUUCACCCAGAAAGAAGCAGCUCUAUUUUCCUAAGUGGGAAGUUAAGGCUUGAUCAUUGCGUGCAGCUAUGAGGUACUUUGUCCUCAAUGGUCACUUGUCCCUUGGACUCCCGUGGUAUGAGCUUCACACCAGACACAACUACCAUGGAGGACAAGAUGCCAGGAAGACAGGGCUCAGCCCUGGAAGGCUCCACGGAAGGCACUGCCAGCUGCAUAUGUAUCCAGCCUCACUGGUGUGUGUUUGGGAGACAGAAUCUUCACACCUUUUGGAAGGAGUUGGGUCUUUCUCCUGGAUGUUUGUCAGUUUUAUUCUUCUGACUUCGACCUUCGGCAGGAGCCAGCCAACACGGAAAAGCACACAAAGGAUCCACACCAUCCUUGGAAACAACAAACCAGAAUCUUUCCGCCAGCCUCCUGCUCAGAGAACCCUGGCUCUCACCUUUUUUCCUUGCAUAAACCUUCACAACCCUUCUAAGCGGCAUUUUCUGUUUCUCAGGGGCUAUUUACCUUGGUUUGCUCCAUGCUCCCCUGCACCGAUUCCAACCAGAGUGGCCACUAUUUUCCUACGAUUCAGGUUAGGAUGCUGCUCAGUUCUUACUUUUCUUGGAUUUUGGAAGCAUCUAACAGGGUCACUUGAGCAGCUAGUGCUGGUCUGGCACCUGGUAGGCAAAGAGGAGCAGAGGGGGGUAAGGGGUAGUCUGCUCCAGCGGUACUCUGCCAGUGUCAGUUCCAUCCUCACCCUCUACCCAACAUUCAGCCGCCACCUUUCCCCCUCAGUGGUUGGGUUAGGACUCACACCUACACCAUGCACUAUCCCUCCAUCAUCUUAACUCACUUGGUUGUAGGUGGUAGGUGUAGGUGAGAAGGUCUGAAGAUGCUUCUCUCGGCAGGCAAGACACAUUCCUUCAGGCUGCCUCUUCUGUCUUCUCUGGAGCAGUUAGUGCUCUAUCUUCCCUUACAUUUUUCUAGCAUGUUUAGUGGCUAACACAUAGAUUAAGCUAGAAGUUGCCAUUUUUUUCCUACAAAAGGAUAGAUCAUAGAUUUUUUUUCCAGCUUCUGUAGGCCUUGGGGUAUCUGUUUCCUCUAGUCAGCUCUGCUGUAGUAUGACAGCAGUCAUGGUCCCAUGUGGGAGUGACUGAUGCCAUCAUUGCAAACCGUAAGGCUGAUAGAAUCCAGUCUGAGAACAAACCUGUCCAUAGAACAAACAAGCUUUGUGCUUUGAUAGCUCUCUUUAUAAAAAAAAAAGCAGAAAAUAAAUUCAUCAUAUUAUUAUUGCUUUUUCUAGGAUAUCAACGUUGACUGUAUGUUUGUCUGACUUCCUCUGGUCCUAGAAUGAGCCGGGUUUCUUGUGAAUGCAGCUUCAAUUUGAUGAGCAUGUUGACACAUCACCUCUAAGGACUGGUGUUCCUUUUCAGUCCUGCUCAUAGAUUCCUUACAUGCCAACGGGGCAUGCGACAGUGGCUCUCAGAGCUGCCGACUUGGUAUUGGACUGUUCAUUUUUAAAGGCUGUUUUCUCUCAGAAGGUGGUUUUUUUUUUUUUUUUUUUUUUUUUUUUUUGAUGUCAACAUAAAUAGCGUUUGACAUUUCACAGUAGCGUUAGCAAUAACCACCCAGUGGAGGGUGGGCAGGAGAGGCAGCUGGACGUGUGGAGGAGGCCUGGUUUUGUGGGAUCCCAUGGUUAUUACUCUUAGUGGAAUAAGGAUUGUGGGAGCAAUCACCUCAUCUUUGGCUCCAUUUAGCGUCCAACAGGGAAGAUGUGAUCGAUCACCUCACGGGCCACAGAAGACUCUCCAGCACUGGGGAUGACUACAGUGCAUUCCCUGGAGGUGGUCUGACAGGAGUGUCUACCACGCGCCAAUCUACCUAGUGUGACCCAGUGACCUGCUCUAUUGCCGCUCGCUGCCAUAGGUGGGCUGUGCCUAUGUUCGUCACUGUAAACCAAGGGGAAAUCCUGGCAACUCUACCCAGCUCUCUGACAGCGGAAGUAGAUAAUUUGAUCAAAGCAAAGAGGGUCCCAGGUCUGCCUCAGCCGAGGCCCUUUAUUUACAGGCAGCUGGCGUCUCGCUCCCACCUCUGGAUGAGGCAGAAAAAUACCACAAUGAACGCACAUUUAUAUGCGUUGCCUGGAGUGUGGAAAAUCAGGAGAGAGACUUUCAGAGAGUAAGAACUUACACAUUAUGCCUCUGCAGUCACUUCAGGCUAUUUGGCUAAAACUCCUUCUGUGUAUAGGGAUAUAGGUUGGAUUUAACCCCAAAGUAAAUCUUUUACAUCCAAAAUUAAACACCGUGUAGGGCGGAAGAAUUUUUUUUUCGGAGAUUUUUAUACUCUGUAAUUUCUUGAAGGAGUUUCAUGCCUUAUUUUUUUUAGUCACUUCAAAACGUAUCGCAAGCUUAUGAAUUCUACCUUGGAUCUCCCAUUCCACCAUCUGGGACACGAACAGGACUGGAGGAGCCCCAGCGUGACAUUUCUGGGUAUUUUCUAAGUUGUUUUUUGUUGUUCACUUGGUGAGAUAUGGAGAGAGCAUAUGUAGGGUAGUGACUCAUCUCCAGGGAAGAUUUCUGGGGAUGCGAUGCCUUCAGUUUGUAGUUUCCCAGUUGUAACCUGCUGAAGCUUUCGCAGAGGAGACCGUCUUUGUUCUGUUUCAGACUUUCAGAUGAGUGACCCAAGAGCAGCUUUCUGAGCCCAAGUUCCCCUCUCAUUUUGGCUUUGUGUCACUCUCACUGUACCCCCCCCCAAUAUCCCUGGGCCUUACUCAUUAGUAUAUCACCCCAUUCAGGUAGCGGGGGAGCGACAGUCAGCUGAACACAACUCUCAGUUAGCACUGAGGCAUUAGGGUGUGUCCAAGUGAUUGGAUGUUAUUAAGUCCGGAAGAACGUGUCAAUGAAUAGACGGCCACAUGUGUCUUAGUGAUGGCAAAGGUUAAUUCAGGCAGCAUAAGCUGUUGAUGACAAGGACUAACUUUGUAGGAGAUUAAGGCCAGGGAUAUGUGCUACAGGCUUUGAUGUACAGGCAUCAUUCAGAAACCAGCCUUAAUUUACUAAAUGGUAAGGGAUCCGUGUACCCUUGCUUUAGAGAGUCCAUCCUUUAUGUUUGGCUUCAAAGCACCAAAGACAGGAAAUGUGUUUGAGAUGUAGAUUUCUUUCACAACAAAAUGAUAAUGUGAGAAGCUUGCACUUCUUCUUAGAUUGCAAUCGUAAGCAUUUAUUUUAGACUCAUAGCAUGGAAAACGGUGAAGUGUGAGAAACUGUCUUGUUUAGUUUAAGACUUUUUACACAGAUUUAUGUAGAGGUAUAUGUGCAUGUGUGCAUGUGUGUAUGAGUGUGCACAUACAUGUGUAUAUGUGCAUGUGUAUUUACUUGCCUAUGUGGGUGUAUGUGUGUGUUAGUGUAGAGAACAACUUGCAGAAGUUGAUUUUUUUAUUAAGUGGGUUCUAGGAAUCGAACGUGGUUGGCAGUAUUGACAGCAAGAAUCUGCUGGGUCUUCUGAGAGGCCCUGGUUUAACUGCAAUCCAUUACAAUGCUUGUGUUGGUAAAGUUUGUUGUCAACUUGACACAAGCUUGAGUCAUCUGUAAAAGGGAGUCUCAGUUGAAGGCUGGCUUGUGCGCAGGUCUAUGGAAUAUUUUCCCCAAUUAAUGACUGAUGUGGGAGGAGUCAGCCUGCUGUGGGCAGUGUCAUCCAUGGAAGAGUCAUGGAGAGAAUAAGAAGGCAGGCUGAACAAGCCACAGGGAGCAAGACAAUUAGUAGCAUCCUCCAUGGCCUCUGUGUCAGCUCCUGCUUUGAAUCUUUGUCCUGAUUUCCCUCCUUAAUGGUCUAUGACAUACAAGUGUAAUCCAAAUAAACCCUUUUCUCUCUGUGUUGCUUUUGGUCAGAAUGUUUUAUCACAGUGGUAGAAAGAAAACUAGGACAAUGUUCUUUGUCAGAAGUGUUGAUGCUACGUGGUUCAAGAAAAGACUCCAGGAUGGACGCAAACAUACACUGUAAUCCUAGUUUCAAAAAUCUAUCUUCAAUGGCAGGCUGAGUCAUAUGAAGUGGCUAUUUUGUACGUUGAAAUUAUUUGAAAUCAGCAAUUCUACAUGGUUCAAAAUGCCAAUGGCACAGGCUCAAUGGACAAGAGAAACUACAUAUGAAAUAUAUAUGGGUACGCAGAUAUGUGCAUAUGUGCAUGUGCACACACGUGGGAUUGGGUGACACAGAGACUGACACAGAGAGAGAGAGGGGAGGGGAGAAGGAAGGAGGGAGGGAGAGAGAGACUUAGUAAGCAUUCUUAAUGGUAACUAUGGGAAUAGGAUUUUAUCUUUUCCUCAUCUCUAUCUCUAGAGUGAGUGCUCCUCCCUUUCCCCUUUGAGUGCUGUACAAGUUCAGCCUUUCACAGUGAGGAGGAGCCUGCAGUGAGAGCGCACUUACACGAUGAUCUCUUAGUCACUUUAAGGACAUCGGGGCUCUGGUUUCCAGAGCCCUUUAGAAAUACCCAGAUUUGGAGAGAAGUGGGCCGGUUUCCUUUCCUUUCUGGCUAAAGUCUACCUUGUGCACACAAGGAUGGGGUACAAGUAGGCAUCCAAACCUAUCUGUGAAUGGUUUCCAAACUGAAUGCACGGGGGAGAGAUAACUAAUCGUUGCUUACCGACAUUCUGCAAUGCUGCCGAUUUCCCCUUAGUGAAACCGAUAGGCUUGUUCUCCGAAAAGCAGAUGGCUGGAUUAGAUAGCCAUAGGACAGGAAGGAGUAAAGAAGGAAAAUGAAAAAGCUGCUGGUUUGUUGAGAAGCACCUUCCUAAUUCUCCUGAAUGGGCACUUAGACUCUUGGGUAAAUGCCACACUUUGUAUAUUG
Non-coding RNA from Rattus norvegicus (Norway rat), 10625 nucleotides. Lineage: Eukaryota; Metazoa; Chordata; Mammalia; Rodentia; Muridae. The record is from RefSeq and is a predicted model, not a curated record.